UACAGAGGGGGCAAGCGUUAUUCGGAAUUACUGGGCGUAAAGGGCUCGUAGGCGGCCAACUAAGUCAGACGUGAAAUCCCUCGGCUUAACCGGGGAACUGCGUCUGAUACUGGAUGGCUCGAGUUUGGGAGAGGGAUGCGGAAUUCCAGGUGUAGCGGUGAAAUGCGUAGAUAUCUGGAGGAACACCGGUGGCGAAGGCGGCAUCCUGGACCAACACUGACGCUGAUGAGCGAAAGCCAGGGGAGCAAACGGG
RNAcentral lists this ribosomal RNA (253 nucleotides) under uncultured bacterium. RNAcentral describes it as "partial 16S ribosomal RNA". It matches the Rfam family "Bacterial small subunit ribosomal RNA", at positions 524 to 776 of the family's 1533-position model. The record is from RNAcentral.